GACUUGCUGCCUGGAACACCUACAGUAACAGUGUUUCUUUAGAUGGUGAGGAUCUUAUCUUGACAAGUUUAAAUUAGAUUAAUAUACAGAAAUCUUGUUUCUAAAACCCUUUAAACAAAUUGCAUCGUUUGAAUAAUCGUUUGGCUCUGAUACCAUUUUAAUAUAACGAUUCCUUAAUAAUUUGUUUUAAUUAUUGUAACGUUAUUACUAUUUUGAUAUACAAAAUUUUGGAAUUUGAUAUUUAUAAGAAUUUGAGCGUUGUACACAGAAUAUGAUUAAAACUUACUUUUAUUUAUCUUGAGUUGUGAUACAAUCUUUGAUUACAAACUUAAAACUUAGAAAACACAGGAAAUUUCAGAGAGAAGGGAGAGCUUUUAGAGAGUGAAGGUUUUUUGAGAGUGAAAUUUGCUCGUGUCCUCUUCCUUGAGCAUAAUUACGUAUUUAUAGACAAAGAGUGCUUGAAUAAAGUCUUGCAACGUGUCGUCUUCUAGUGGUGCCGACACUUGAUUUAAUACGUGUUGAGUCUUGAGUGGUGCCGACAAUUGCUGUCAAAAACUGUUGUUGUUUUGUGCAGAAGUCUUUGUGUGAGUCCCAUGUGGGUCCCGCCAUUGUCGGUUGGAUUCUUUCUCGAAAUUCUUGCAUAGCUUUUCCGCGAGUCUUGUUAUACAGAUAUACUCUGUAUAUUAUUUUGUAGAUAGUAGUAAUAAAAUACAGAGAAGAAAAUACAGAAAUAAUGUACAGAGUCUACUAGAAUAUACUUAAAACCGAAAUUGUAAAUAUAGACAUACUUUUAGGUUUUUUUUUUUUUUUUUUUUAGAAUAUACUUAAAACCGAACUUGUAAAUAUAGACAUACUUUGAGGGUUUUUUUUUUUUUUUUUUUUUUUUUUUUUUUUUUUUAUACUUAAAACCGAACUUGUAAAUAAAGACAUACUUUUUUGAUUUGUCUUGUUGUUGGUUUAAAGAUUGGGUAGGUCGUUGAUGAGAAAGGGUGUUGAGUGUGUUGGUCCACUUUUCCUUUUUCAUUAAUAUUUAUUUUAUUAUCAAUGCUGUCUAUCUGUUUAGAAAUUGUAUGUAGUAUUUGACUUUGAUAAUUGUUCUGUUGAUAUAUAGAUUUAAUAUCUUGCAUUAACACUGGUUCUUUAUCAUCUUUGUUAGCUCCAGUUUUAAAGGGUGUAGCUAAAAUUUGUCGGUUUAAAGUAUUUAUCUUUAAAUCAUUUAAAGGUGGAUGAAUUGCUUUAAUUUUAUUUCCAUCCACUUGUUCCCAUACUUGGCUUAAUGAUACACUCGCAUUAAUCGUCUUGAAUGGAUAAUUGAUAUUAUGAGCUAUUGAAUAAAUUUCAAACCAUACGAAAAAUGGAAUAUUCAUUUCUUUUAGUAUCAUACAAUCAUACCAUUUUUCUCUGUACUCAUUGGUUUGUUGUUUAGAGAAAGUUUUAAAAUACCAACCUCGUUUUUCUUCAUUUUCUUUUGAAUAAAAGUCUUCUCUUAUAUAUUGUUUAUCAAUUUCGUAUUUUUUAGUUAUAACAUUUAUUGAUCUAAAAUCUGAUGGAGUAGGUGAUGUUGGAUAUGCAUCUUGAUCUGGUUCUGCUAUUGGUGCUUUAAAUCUUAUCGGUUCAUCUUGUUUAGUGUUUUGAUUUACACUUUCCGUUUCUGAAUUUGUACUGGAUUGACCCGUACGAUAUUCAGAAAAAGAGGCUCUUGAAUGAUACGAACUUAUUCUAGGUGGAAGUGGAUCCCUAUAAGAUCCAAACCUUAAUAAUAUUUUUCCAUCUUUCUGCUCAAUUAUUUUAGAUAUAUUCUUUUGCUCAAAAUUUCUAGGCGGUUGAGUAAUUUCAAUUUUCCAUUGAUCUGGAAUAGUUAUUUCAUCCCAUUUUAAUUGCUUUGGUGUGUAUGUAGCUGUUGGUGUAUCUUUACUAUGGACUGCUAGAAUUGUUGUUUCUCCUUUAUCAUCUUGUAAUAGACAUCUUGGGUUAAACUCAGAAGUUGAUUGCUUAAAAUAAACUCGAUAAAGUAGAAGAUAUCCAUGUCUUUCAUUUUGAAAUUUUAUUUCAGGUAAAUGUACAUUUAAAGUUAAAGUAUUGAGUAUGGUUGGGUCAUGCAAGCUUACUUGAAAGUUAGGGGCACAAUUAAAAUAUACAGCACCAUUGCAUAAAUUUGAUUGUACUGCUCCUAAAAGAGAGUCUUCAAAUUUUAAGAGAGCUUUAUCUCUUAAUAACAUUAAUAUUGGCGAGUCUAUACCUGUUCUUGAUAAGGGUUUUAUAGCAAUUUGGAUUAGACCAAAAUGAAUGUAAUUAAAUCCUUUUUGCUUAUAUUUUUCCAAAGCUAGAGAAGAUAAUAACUUAAUUUCUUCAAAUUCAUUUUGUAGAGACAAAGUUUGCUCAUGUUCUUUAAUUGAAUAAGCUGUUUUAAAAUCAAAAGUUCCUAUUUGAUAUAUAUGUUCUGGAUUAAUAUGCGGUAAAUGAUCUCUUGAUAUUUCUUGAUUAAACGUUGUUAUUUUUUGACAUAAUUUCUCUUGAGUUAAUUGUUGAAUUUGAAGAGGUUGAUGCAUUUUUUGAUUUAAAAAGUUUUCUAAACGAAGACGCCAUGAUUUAAUCUAUAUUUAAACUCAUUAUAGAAGAGAUACUAACCGAUUCUAAUUGGACACAACUGAGGUUUACCAACGGUCUUACUGCCUUCUCUGGACUUGCUGCCUGGAACACCUACAGUAACAGUGUUUCUUUAGAUGGUGAGGAUCUUAUCUUGACAAGUUUAAAUUAGAUUAAUAUACAGAAAUCUUGUUUCUAAAACCCUUUAAACAAAUUGCAUCGUUUGAAUAAUCGUUUGGCUCUGAUACCAUUUUAAUAUAACGAUUCCUUAAUAAUUUGUUUUAAUUAUUGUAACGUUAUUACUAUUUUGAUAUACAAAAUUUUGGAAUUUGAUAUUUAUAAGAAUUUGAGCGUUGUACACAGAAUAUGAUUAAAACUUACUUUUAUUUAUCUUGAGUUGUGAUACAAUCUUUGAUUACAAACUUAAAACUUAGAAAACACAGGAAAUUUCAGAGAGAAGGGAGAGCUUUUAGAGAGUGAAGGUUUUUUGAGAGUGAAAUUUGCUCGUGUCCUCUUCCUUGAGCAUAAUUACGUAUUUAUAGGCAAAGAGUGCUUGAAUAAAGUCUUGCAACGUGUCGUCUUCUAGUGGUGCCGACACUUGAUUUAAUACGUGUUGAGUCUUGAGUGGUGCCGACAAUUGCUGUCAAAAACUGUUGUUGUUUUGUGCAGAAGUCUUUGUGUGAGUCCCAUGUGGGUCCCGCCAUUGUCGGUUGGAUUCUUUCUCGAAAUUCUUGCAUAGCUUUUCCGCGAGUCUUGUUAUACAGAUAUACUCUGUAUAUUAUUUUUGUAGAUAGUAGUAAUAAAAUACAGAGAAGAAAAUACAGAAAUAAUGUACAGAGUCUACUAGAAUAUACUUAAAACCGAAAUUGUAAAUAUAGACAUACUUUUAGGUUUUUUUUUUUUUUUUUUUUUUUUUUUUUUUUUUUUUAGAAUUACUUAAAACCGAACUUGUAAAUAUAGACAUACUUUGAGGGUUUUUUUUUUUUUUUUUUUUUUUUUUUUUUUUUUUUUUUAUACUUAAAACCGAACUUGUAAAUAAAGACAUACUUUUUUGAUUUGUCUUGUUGUUGGUUUAAAGAUUGGGUAGGUCGUUGAUGAGAAAGGGUGUUGAGUGUGUUGGUCCACUUUUCCUUUUUCAUUAAUAUUUAUUUUAUUAUCAAUGCUGUCUAUCUGUUUAGAAAUUGUAUGUAGUAUUUGACUUUGAUAAUUGUUCUGUUGAUAUAUAGAUUUAAUAUCUUGCAUUAACACUGGUUCUUUAUCAUCUUUGUUAGCUCCAGUUUUAAA
Molecule: long non-coding RNA, 3870 nt
Filed under: Brassica rapa (field mustard)
Lineage: Eukaryota; Viridiplantae; Streptophyta; Magnoliopsida; Brassicales; Brassicaceae
Description: long non-coding RNA (BRAP_LNC001934)
Source: RNAcentral